GGUGGAUGUCUGGGCAUCAGGAGCCGAUGAAGGACGUGGGAGGCCGCGAUAGUCCUCGGGGAGUUGUCAACCGAGCUGUGAUCCGAGGGUGUCCGAAUGGGGAAACCCAGCGCGUGUCAUGACGCGUUACUCGUGCCUGAAUUCAUAGGGUACGAGGGGGAACGUGGGGAAGUGAAACAUCUCAGUACCUGUUUUUUGAGAAAACGAAUGUGAUUCCGUGUGUAGUGGCGAGCGAUAGCGGAUGAUGGCUAAACCUGGUGUGUGGAUAACUCGGUAGGGGUUGCAUGCUGGGGGUUGUGGGGCAUCGUUGUUCCUGGUCUACCGGCUGGGGUUGUGGGUUGUGUGUGUGAGUUGAACUGGUUUGGGAUGGCCGACCGGAGUGGGUGAGAGUCCCGUAGACGAAACGCGUGGCCCCAGUGUUACACACUCUCCCGAUUAGCACGGAACUCGUGGAAUUCCGUGUGAAUCUGCCAGGACCACC
This 481-nucleotide ribosomal RNA is filed under the name Anophryoides haemophila. RNAcentral describes it as "partial Bacterial large subunit ribosomal RNA". It matches the Rfam family "Bacterial large subunit ribosomal RNA", at positions 23 to 457 of the family's 2925-position model. Lineage: Eukaryota; Ciliophora; Oligohymenophorea; Philasterida; Glauconematidae. The record is from RNAcentral.